This is a long non-coding RNA of Octopus bimaculoides (California two-spot octopus), 2004 nucleotides long. The record is from RefSeq and is a predicted model, not a curated record. Lineage: Eukaryota; Metazoa; Mollusca; Cephalopoda; Octopoda; Octopodidae.
UGUUGUUGUUUCGCCACAGGUCAAUUGUAACGGAGAAGAGCUAUGAUUAAAGGCAUUCUGGACAUGACUAUUCCAACUUUUUAAUAGAUUUAAGGACAACAAGGGAGAGUCGAAAGUGAGCGCUCGGCUUGUUUGAAAUAACAGUCAGAUUUCCGCCGUAUCACAUCUACCGUCUUAUAAAUGGAAGGGCACGUUGAAGACGGAGGUGGGGGCGGGUGCUAUGUAUCUAAGGAAAAAAUAGAAUAGGCACGGUUGGAUUAUCUUAGAUCAUCAUAGGGUUGCUUGAUUCGGACUGACCUAGGGUUAAACGUCACCAAUGUCCUGUGAGUGUAUCCGUCUUCCUUUUGUGUUUCUUUUGUAUAUUGCAGGUUGUUGAUUUGAGGGAGAUUUGGCUAUUAUUGCUAAUAGGUCGAGAUCACGGAGAUGUUUCUGUAUUGUAAGUUCGUGACAAUCUGUUUGGAAUUGGCCAAAACGAAAUAACACAGUCGAAAGAAGAAAGAAAAACAAAUCAAUGAAAGAAAGAGGAAAUGAAAAAGCGGUAGAGACGGAUAAUAAAAGUCAAGACAGUUUUUAAAAUGAGCGAUGGACCGUGAAGACACGUUGUUCUUAUUCCUGUGUAAACAAUGGAUUGCAAUGCAAGUUCCCGGCACCAACUGUUGACGUUAGUCACCCUCUCAAAUAUGGAUGCCCUAAAGUGGUUGAAACAGUCACCACCCCUAAAAAUAUUACCGUUAUUUCAAACCAAUGAGGGAACCUCUACACGAUCGUUCUGCUCGCUAGAAAUAACAGCCAAAUCACUUUGCAAUCACUUACUCCCGACUUAUAAAACAAUGAAGGAUUAUUGAAUAAUAUAUAGGCCUAAGUCCUAGAAUCGCUGUCAGAAAGAAAAUAAAUGGGACGAUAAAUGCUUAAUAAGGGCUCGUCUGGCACUAAAUGUUUUCAAAUUUUGGCACAAGGCCAGUAAUUUUAAGGCGGGGGGGGGGUAGUCGAUUACCUCGACCUCAGUCUUCAAUUGGUACUUAUUUUAUCGACCCAAAAAAAGAUGAAAGGCAAAGUCGACCACGGCGGAGACACGAAUAUGAUCGCUAUUUCGCGUUCUCUUUAUACAGAGGAUUUACACAUUUUCCGUCUUUUAUCCACGAAUUAAAAGACUCUUGUACUUAUAGAGUGAAACUACCAUUGCCAUUAUAUACAAACAAGUCAUCUUCCCCACUGUUAUAAAUAUAUUCAAGUUCGGGCGUAGUAGAGAGCAGUCUACUGUAUCCAUCACGUGACUGAUUAUUAUUUGAAGCGGCAACUGCUUUGUACCGUUCCCGCCAGAACGCAAAUCAACCAAUCACAGCCCCUAAUAAGGUCACGUGAUAGUGUUUUUCUAAUGCCUCUCUGGAGCCCCUAUUUUGUUAUAAAUAGACUAAAUUAUACCGGGCAAAUUCGUCGCGGUUCAGAUCUCUUAGAGACCUGUUCCAUGUACCACACAGAGCAGCAGCAGCAGUUCCAGCGAAAACAUCAACAGCUUCGUACAACUAGGACUACCAGCAUCAACACGACUCUAUGACUACCACCAUCAACACGACUCUAUGACUACCACCAGCGUUCCCCCAACAGCGUCAACAUGACUUCUACAUACACAAGCUAACCAAACUACCGUGGCAUUUCUCUUCGAUUCUGUUUGUGUGAUUCAUCUUCACCACGAUACAUAAUAGACAAGAGCCCAGCCUGCGAAGAACAUCUGUACUCAAGAACCCGGCCUGGCAUAGAAGUCACAACAACACAACUAGUGAUCGCUCUGCCCCACACGCCUUAACUUCUUAUACAGACACUUACCACUGUGUACUCUAAGAACUGGUACCUUAAAUUCUUAUACAUGUUACUGACUCUUUUUCUAUCCGCUGUAACUCUUACAUACACAUACAUGUAUCACUCGCACACACACUUUUCUUUACUUGACGGCCUGUCUUUUAUUGUGUUUUCAUUAUGUCGCAUUCGCUCACACACAGACACACA